AAACCACAGUCAGUUACAAAUCUAUAGAAUUGGCAACAGCAAUCCAAAUUAAACUGUGUUCUGUUUUAUGAGAAUGAUGCAUAAUUAUUUUCGUAUCGGAGGAGUAGCGGCCGAUCUACCUCAUGGUUGGAUAGAUAAAUGUUUGGAUUUCUGCGAUUAUUUUUUAACAAGAGUUGCUGAAUAUCAAAAACUUAUUACACGAAAUCCUAUUUUUUUAGAACGAGUCGAGGGAGUAGGCAUUAUUGGUAGAGAGGAAGUAAUAAAUUGGGGUUUAUCGGGACACCCUAAACCCUUCCGGAAUACAAUGGGAUCUUCGUAAAGUUGAUCAUUAUGAAUGUUACGACGAAUUUGAUUGGGAGGUACAGUGGCAAAAAGAAGGAGAUUCAUUGGCUCGUUAUCUAGUCCGAAUUGGUGAAAUGAUAGAAUCUAUAAAAAUCAUUCAACAGGCUCUGGAAGGAAUUCCAGGGGGACCCUAUGAGAAUUUAGAAAUACGAUACUUUGAUAGAGAAAGGAAUCCUGAAUGGAAUGAUUUUGAAUAUCGAUUUAUUAGUAAAAAGCCUUCUCCUACAUUUGAAUUGCCGAAACAAGAACUUUAUGUGAGAGUCGAAGCCCCAAAGGGAGAGCUGGGAAUUUUUCUGAUAGGGGAUCAGAGUGGUUUUCCUUGGAGAUGGAAAAUCCGCCCCCCGGGUUUUAUCAAUUUGCAAAUUCUUCCUCAGUUAGUUAAAAGAAUGAAAUUGGCUGAUAUUAUGACGAUACUAGGUAGUAUAGAUAUCAUUAUGGGAGAAGUUGAUCGUUGAAAUGAUAAUUGAUACACCAGAAGUACAAGAUAUUGAUUCUUUUUCUAGAUUAGAGUUUUUAAAAGAGUUUUAUGGAAUUAUAUGGGUGCUUAUUCCUAUUUUGACUCUUGUAUUGGGAAUCACAAUAGGCGUACUGGUAAUUGUAUGGUUAGAAAGAGAAAUAUCCGCAGGGAUACAACAACGUAUUGGACCUGAAUACGCCGGCCCUUUGGGAAUUCUUCAAGCUCUAGCAGAUGGGGCAAAACUGGUUUUCAAAGAAAAUCUUCUUCCAUCUAGGGGGGAUACCCGUUUAUUCAGUAUCGGGCCAUCCAUAGCAGUCAUAUCAAUUUUAGUAAGCUAUUCAGUAGCUCCUUUUGGCUAUCACCUUGUUUUAGCGGAUCUCAAUAUCGGUGUUUUUUUAUGGAUUGCCAUUUCUAGUAUUGCUCCGAUUGGACUUCUUAUGUCAGGGUACGGGUCAAAUAAUAAAUAUUCCUUUUUAGGUGGUCUACGAGCUGCUGCUCAAUCGAUUAGUUAUGAAAUACCAUUAACUUUAUGUGUGUUAUCAAUAUCUCUACGUGUGAUUCGUUGAUACAUAGACAUAAACUUUUCUUUAUUCCUUCCUUUCAAAGAAAGGGUUGGAAUGAAUUAAGUAGAUGUAGAUAUCUUCAUUUUUUUUUAUUCAUUAUUCGGGUUGAUGAACUAAAUCAAAUAGUUAUAUGAGUGAAAGAAAACAGCUUAUAUAUAAAUUCGCAGUAAAAAGAUUGAGUCUCAUUUUCUAUGUAUAAGAGUUAGAGAGUUAAGCGGAAAUAAACAUAAACAGAAGCGACCGUUUCCCCCAAGAUUGGUUGAUUAGUCAUCCUGACUUGAAGCGGGCUCAAAAGAUCAACCAUAUUGAGUUUUCACUAUCAUUUGUAUGUAUUACCACAGGGGGGGGUUGAACAAAAACGAGUGGGUGGUUAGAAACACCAAGAUAUGUAAAGGAUUAGUAAUGGAGAUUAUGUAAAUUCUCCAAAAGGACAUUUUUACAUAAAUAUACAAACAAAGAAUACUCAUUGGGGCUUUAAGUUGGUAGAAAUGAUCAGGCAAUACUCCCCACGACACGAUUCCAAUCCAGAGUAUGCUCCUAUCCACAGAUUAAAUAAAUAACUAUUGGGAACGAAAUAAUCCUUUACUUUAUUUUGUAAGCCCCCUUUUUCUCAGAAAUAGAAAGAAGAAUAGGAACGAAAAAAAGAGAAAGAAAUCCAAUUCCAAUAAAAAAAUAAAAAAGAUACCUUUUUUAUUUCCCAGAUACAUAUUAAUAGAUAUAGAAUUUGUGUCAUAAUUCAUGAAUUAAUUAUAGAAUUUUUUUCGUAAGUGAAAUAAACGGGUUAUUGAUAUUUCUACAAUAAGUAUUUUAUUGAAGAAUUAAGUUAUUACUCAACAAAGAAGAAUUAAAAUUCUUAUUGAAAUUAUUAAAGUUAAAGAAAGGGUGAGAUCUAUUCAGAAGUACCUUUUUUAUUUAUUAUUAAAUAAUUAUAACAGACAGAAUUCAAUUGGUCUAAUUUAGGACCGUCCAAUAGAUUUUUACUUUAUCCAUCCUACAAACGUACCAAGAUAAAACAAUACUGACGCGAUCCUUAGAUUUAUUUCUGGCCUUUAAGGAGCCGUAUGAGGUGAAAAUCUCAUGUACGGUUCUGUAAUAGCGAUGGUAACAGUAAUGGUAUCACCGACUAUAAUUAUCUAACAGUUCAAGUACAAUUGAUAUAGUUGAGGCGCAAUCAAAAUACGGUUUUUGGGGAUGGAAUUUGUGGCGUCAGCCUAUAGGGUUUAUCAUUUUUAUCAUUUCUUCCCUAGCAGAAUGUGAGAGAUUACCUUUUGAUUUACCCGAAGCAGAAGAAGAAUUAGUAGCAGGUUAUCAAACCGAAUACUCGGGUAUAAAAUUUGGUUUAUUUUAUGUUGCUUCCUAUCUAAACCUAUUAGUUUCUUCAUUAUUUGUAACAGUUCUUUAUUUGGGAGGUUGGAAUAUCUCUAUUCCGGACAUAUAUGUUUCUGAGCUUUUUGAAAUAAAUAAAACAUGUGGAGUUUUUGGAGCGACAAUUGGUAUCUUUAUUACAUUAGCUAAAACUUAUUUGUUCUUGUUCAUUCCUAUCACAACAAGAUGGACUUUACCGAGGCUAAGAAUGGACCAACUAUUGAAUCUUGGAUGGAAAUUUCUUUUACCUAUUUCUCUCGGUAAUCUAUUAUUAACAACCUCUUCCCAACUCUUUUCACUGUAAGGUAAAUUUACAACUUGUCUCAAACAAGAGAAAUAAACAAACAUAAAAUUAUUCAUAAUAUAUAUUAAUGAUAUGUUCUCUAUGGUAACUGGGUUCAUGAAUUAUGGUCAACAAACAGUACGAGCUGCAAGGUACAUUGGUCAAAGUUUCAUGAUUACUUUAUCUCACGCAAAUCGUUUACCUGUAACUAUUCAAUAUCCUUAUGAAAAAUUAAUCACCGCGGAGCGUUUCCGCGGUCGAAUCCAUUUUGAAUUUGAUAAAUGUAUUGCUUGUGAAGUAUGUGUUCGUGUAUGUCCUAUAGAUCUACCCGUUGUUGAUUGGAAAUUGGAAACUGAUAUUCGCAAGAAACGGUUGCUUAAUUACAGUAUUGAUUUCGGAGUCUGUAUAUUUUGUGGUAAUUGCGUUGAGUAUUGUCCAACAAAUUGUUUAUCAAUGACUGAAGAAUAUGAACUUUCUACUUAUGAUCGUCACGAAUUGAAUUAUAAUCAAAUUUCUUUGGGUCGUUUACCAAUGUCAGUAAUUGACGAUUAUACAAUUCGAACAAUUUUUAAUUCGCCUCAAAAAAAAAAAGUAAAUCUCUUGAUUAAAGAAUAAUUUAUAAUUACUUUACUAAGACUAUUACUUUACUAAUAAAUAAUACUAAGGUUCAUUUUUUUUUGAUCUAAUCUAAAGGAAUCGGGUUUCUUUCGUUUUGUUUGGUCAAUAACUACAAAUCCCAACUGUUGAUUAGUUGGUUAAGAAUCACGUCUUAAUUUGGAUUGAAAAUCCAUUAAUUAAUAUAUCUGUAAUUAUUUUUACAUAUAUAGUUUCAAAUGAGAACUACUCUUUCAGAUAACGAAUUUAAUUAGUCCAAUAAUUGUACUUACAUUUAUUCAUAUCCCUUAGGAUUUAAUUAGGAAUUGCUCAAAAAUUAUAAUUUUUUUUCUGUUCGGAUUUCAAUAAGGUCAUGAAAAACAUUUCGAUUUAUUUAUCUCUUAUUUUACAUAUAAUGGAUUUGCCCGGACCAAUACAUGAUUUUCUUUUAGUCUUUCUGGGAUCGGUUCUUAUACUAGGAGGUAUGGGAGUGGUAUUAUUUACCAACCCCAUUUAUUCUGCCUUUUCAUUGGGACUGGUUCUUGUUUGUAUAUCCUUAUUCUAUAUUCUAUUAAACUCCUAUUUUGUAGCUGCUGCACAACUCCUUAUUUACGUGGGAGCUAUAAAUGUUUUAAUCGUAUUUGCUGUGAUGUUUAUGAAUGGUUCAGAAUAUUACAAAGAUUUGAAUCUUUGGACCGUUGGGGAUGUGGUUACUUUGCCAGUUUGUACAAGUAUUUUUGUUUUACUCAUGAUUACUAUUACAGAUACGUCAUGGUACGGGAUUAUUUGGACUACAAGAUCAAA
RNA transcript from Prunus dulcis (almond), 4408 nucleotides. It is a transcript of the gene named NAD(P)H-quinone oxidoreductase subunit H, chloroplastic-like, with no coding region annotated. The transcript has a single exon. Lineage: Eukaryota; Viridiplantae; Streptophyta; Magnoliopsida; Rosales; Rosaceae. The record is from RefSeq and is a predicted model, not a curated record.